RNAcentral lists this ribosomal RNA (565 nucleotides) under Phyllopsora dolichospora. Its description in RNAcentral is "SSU rRNA". It matches the Rfam family "Bacterial small subunit ribosomal RNA", at positions 370 to 925 of the family's 1533-position model. Lineage: Eukaryota; Fungi; Ascomycota; Lecanoromycetes; Lecanorales; Ramalinaceae. The record is from RNAcentral.
AAUAGCCUAACGGCUGAACCAGCAACUUGGAGGAAUGAAUAGCAAUAGCUAAUUGUACAUAUAUAUGAUGCAAUAUCGACUCAGUCGAAUAAAAUUCUGGCUAGAAUUAUGAUAAUGACAUUAUCUAGUCACGUGUCUUGACCAAAUUACGUGCCAGCAGUCGCGGUAAUACGUAAAAGACUAGUGUUAUUCAUCUUUAAUUGGUUUAAAGGGUACCCAGACAGUAAAUCAAACCUUUGCUUUGCAAGAUGGAAUUAAUUUACUAGAGUUACUUACGCGGGGGUUAUAAAGUACUAAUGGUGUAGAGAUAAAAUUUUGUAAUACCAUUUUUCGAAAGAAAAGUUACGGCACUGAUAAAGGCGAAAGCAUCCCCUUAUGUGAUAACUGACGUUGAAAGACGAAGGCUUUGGAUCGCAAAUAGGAUUAGAUACCCUAGUAGUCUAAGCAGAGAAUUAUGAGUGUCAUAGAUUAGAAAUUAAUUUUAUUCUAUAAAUGAAAAUGUAAGCACUCCACCUCAAGAGUAAUUUGGCAACAUUGGAACUGAAAUCAUUAGACCGUUUCUGAA